UACAGAGGUGGCAAGCGUUGUUCGGAAUUACUGGGCGUAAAGGGCGCGUAGGCGGCCUUCUAAGUCAGACGUGAAAUCCCCCGGCUUAACCUGGGAACUGCGUCUGAUACUGGGAGGCUUGAGUAUGGGAGAGGGAUGUAGAAUUCCAGGUGUAGCGGUGAAAUGCGUAGAUAUCGAGAGGAACACCUGCGGCGAAGGCGGGUUGCUGGGCUGACACUGACGCUGAAGCGCGAAAGCUAGGGGAGCGAACGGG
RNAcentral lists this ribosomal RNA (253 nucleotides) under uncultured bacterium. Its description in RNAcentral is "partial 16S ribosomal RNA". It matches the Rfam family "Bacterial small subunit ribosomal RNA", at positions 524 to 776 of the family's 1533-position model. The record is from RNAcentral.